This 684-nucleotide ribosomal RNA is filed under the name Meyerozyma guilliermondii. RNAcentral's name for it is "eukaryotic LSU rRNA". The stretch from base 139 to 292 matches the Rfam family "5.8S ribosomal RNA". The record is from RNAcentral. Lineage: Eukaryota; Fungi; Ascomycota; Pichiomycetes; Serinales; Debaryomycetaceae.
GCGAAAAACCUUACACACAGUGUCUUUUUGAUACAGAACUCUUGCUUUGGUUUGGCCUAGAGAUAGGUUGGGCCAGAGGUUUAACAAAACACAAUUUAAUUAUUUUUACAGUUAGUCAAAUUUUGAAUUAAUCUUCAAAACUUUCAACAACGGAUCUCUUGGUUCUCGCAUCGAUGAAGAACGCAGCGAAAUGCGAUAAGUAAUAUGAAUUGCAGAUUUUCGUGAAUCAUCGAAUCUUUGAACGCACAUUGCGCCCUCUGGUAUUCCAGAGGGCAUGCCUGUUUGAGCGUCAUUUCUCUCUCAAACCCCCGGGUUUGGUAUUGAGUGAUACUCUUAGUCGGACUAGGCGUUUGCUUGAAAAGUAUUGGCAUGGGUAGUACUAGAUAGUGCUGUCGACCUCUCAAUGUAUUAGGUUUAUCCAACUCGUUGAAUGGUGUGGCGGGAUAUUUCUGGUAUUGUUGGCCCGGCCUUACAACAACCAAACAAGUUUGACCUCAAAUCAGGUAGGAAUACCCGCUGAACUUAAGCAUAUCAAUAAGCGGAGGGGAUCUUAAGUAUUCUUUUGCCAGCGCUUAACUGCGCGGCGAAAAACCUUACACACAGUGUCUUUUUGAUAAGAACUCUUGCUUUGGUUUGGCUAGAGAUGGUUGGGCGAGGUUUUACAAAACACAUUUAAUUAUUUUU